This 187-nucleotide microRNA precursor is filed under the name Oryza sativa (Asian cultivated rice). Its description in RNAcentral is "miR1438 stem-loop (osa-MIR1438)". Lineage: Eukaryota; Viridiplantae; Streptophyta; Magnoliopsida; Poales; Poaceae. The record is from miRBase by way of RNAcentral.
GUUGUGAUAUAAGGUUUUAGGGUAAUUUUAUCAUUUUUAAGAAAACAAAAUUUAAUACCUUCAGAUAUUCGGUAUCUAUGUAAAAAAUUUUUAGAUCCCUCAAUAAAAUUUAAUACCUAAAAUCUAAACGUAUUAAAUUUUGUUUUCUUAAAAAUUAUAAAAUUACCCUAAUACAUAAUACCUCAAU